RNAcentral lists this ribosomal RNA (221 nucleotides) under uncultured bacterium. RNAcentral's name for it is "partial 16S ribosomal RNA". It matches the Rfam family "Bacterial small subunit ribosomal RNA", at positions 328 to 539 of the family's 1533-position model. The record is from RNAcentral.
ACGCUCGACACCUACGGGGGGCAGCAGUAGGGAAUCUUCCACAAUGGGCGCAAGCCUGAUGGAGCAACACCGCGUGAGUGAAGAAGGGUUUCGGCUCGUAAAGCUCUGUUGUUGGAGAAGAACGUGCGUGAGAGUAACUGUUCACGCAGUGACGGUAUCCAACCAGAAAGUCACGGCUAACUACGUGCCAGCAGCCGGUAAUCUGAGCGGGCUGGCAAGGC